Molecule: ribosomal RNA, 858 nt
Filed under: uncultured bacterium
Lineage: Bacteria
Description: bacterial SSU rRNA
Rfam family: Bacterial small subunit ribosomal RNA
Source: RNAcentral
GAACGCUGGCGGCGUGCUUAACACAUGCAAGUCGAACGGAAAGGCCCUGCUUGCAGGGUGCUCGAGUGGCGAACGGGUGAGUAACACGUGGGUGAUCUGCCCCUUACUUUGGGAUAAGCCUGGGAAACUGGGUCUAAUACUGGAUAGGACCAUGCUGUAGGUGGUGUGGUGGAAAGAUUAGUUUCGGUAAGGGAUGAGCUCGCGGCCUAUCAGCUUGUUGGUGGGGUAAUGGCCUACCAAGGCGUCGACGGGUAGCCGGCCUGAGAGGGUGGACGGCCACAUUGGGACUGAGAUACGGCCCAGACUCCUACGGGAGGCAGCAGUGGGGAAUAUUGCACAAUGGGCGCAAGCCUGAUGCAGCGACGCCGCGUGGGGGAUGACGGCCUUCGGGUUGUAAACUCCUUUCAGCCAUGACGAAGCCCUUGUGGUGACGGUAGUGGUAGAAGAAGCACCGGCUAACUACGUGCCAGCAGCCGCGGUAAUACGUAGGGUGCGAGCGUUGUCCGGAAUUACUGGGCGUAAAGAGCUCGUAGGUGGUCUGUCGCGUCAUUUGUGAAAGCCCGGGGCUUAACUCCGGGUUGGCAGGUGAUACGGGCAUGACUGGAGUACUGUAGGGGAGACUGGAAUUCCUGGUGUAGCGGUGAAAUGCGCAGAUAUCAGGAGGAACACCGGUGGCGAAGGCGGGUCUCUGGGCAGUAACUGACGCUGAGGAGCGAAAGCAUGGGUAGCGAACAGGAUUAGAUACCCUGGUAGUCCAUGCCGUAAACGGUGGGCGCUAGGUGUGGGUUUCCUUCCACGGGAUCCGUGCCGUAGCUAACGCAUUAAGCGCCCCGCCUGGGGAGUACGGCCGCAAGGCUA